RNAcentral lists this ribosomal RNA (133 nucleotides) under Salinivibrio kushneri. RNAcentral's name for it is "partial 23S ribosomal RNA". It matches the Rfam family "Bacterial large subunit ribosomal RNA", at positions 2809 to 2925 of the family's 2925-position model. The record is from RNAcentral. Lineage: Bacteria; Pseudomonadati; Pseudomonadota; Gammaproteobacteria; Vibrionales; Vibrionaceae.
CAUCCCUAGAGCCUCGAGCUCUCUAAAGGGUUGUUCUAGACUAGAACGUUGAUAGGCAGGGUGUGUAAGCGCUGUGAGGCGUUGAGCUAACCUGUACUAAUGGCCCGUGAGGCUUAACCAUACAACACCCAAG